Molecule: ribosomal RNA, 2899 nt
Filed under: Acinetobacter baumannii
Lineage: Bacteria; Pseudomonadati; Pseudomonadota; Gammaproteobacteria; Moraxellales; Moraxellaceae
Description: 23S ribosomal RNA
Rfam family: Bacterial large subunit ribosomal RNA
Source: RNAcentral
GUUGUAUAGUCAAGUAAUUAAGUGCAUGUGGUGGAUGCCUUGGCAGUCAGAGGCGAUGAAAGACGUGAUAGCCUGCGAAAAGCUCCGGGGAGGCGGCAAAUAUCCUUUGAUCCGGAGAUGUCUGAAUGGGGGAACCCACCUACUUUAAGGUAGGUAUUGCAACAUGAAUACAUAGUGUUGCAAGGCGAACGAGGGGAAGUGAAACAUCUCAGUACCCUUAGGAAAAGAAAUCAAUUGAGAUUCCCUCAGUAGCGGCGAGCGAACGGGGAUCAGCCCAUUAAGUUAUGUGUGUUUUAGUGGAACGCUCUGGGAAGUGCGAACGUAGAGGGUGAUAUUCCCGUACACGAAAGGGCACACAUAAUGAUGACGAGUAGGGCGAGGCACGUGAAACCUUGUCUGAAUAUGGGGGGACCAUCCUCCAAGGCUAAAUACUCCUGACUGACCGAUAGUGAACCAGUACCGUGAGGGAAAGGCGAAAAGAACCCCUGUGAGGGGAGUGAAAUAGAUCCUGAAACCGCAUGCAUACAAGCAGUGGGAGCACCUUCGUGGUGUGACUGCGUACCUUUUGUAUAAUGGGUCAGCGACUUAUAUUCAGUAGCGAGGUUAACCGUAUAGGGGAGCCGUAGAGAAAUCGAGUCUUAAUAGGGCGUUUAGUUGCUGGGUAUAGACCCGAAACCAGGCGAUCUAUCCAUGAGCAGGUUGAAGGUUGGGUAACACUAACUGGAGGACCGAACCCACUGUCGUUGAAAAGCCAGGGGAUGACUUGUGGAUAGGGGUGAAAGGCUAAUCAAGCCUGGUGAUAGCUGGUUCUCCCCGAAAGCUAUUUAGGUAGCGCCUCGGACGAAUACCAUAGGGGGUAGAGCACUGUUUCGGCUAGGGGGUCAUCCCGACUUACCAAACCGAUGCAAACUCCGAAUACCUAUGAGUACUAUCCGGGAGACAGACUGCGGGUGCUAACGUCCGUAGUCAAGAGGAAAACAAUCCAGACCGCCAGCUAAGGCCCCAAAAUCAUAGUUAAGUGGGAAACGAUGUGGGAAGGCAUAGACAGCUAGGAGGUUGGCUUAGAAGCAGCCACCCUUUAAAGAAAGCGUAAUAGCUCACUAGUCGAGUCGGCCUGCGCGGAAGAUGUAACGGGGCUAAAACUAUGUGCCGAAGCUGCGGAUNNNNNNNNNNNNNNNNNNNNNNNNNNNNNNNNNNNNNNNNNNAUGCUGGAGGUAUCAGAAGUGCGAAUGCUGACGUGAGUAACGACAAAACGGGUGAAAAACCCGUUCGCCGAAAGACCAAGGGUUCCAGUCCAACGUUAAUCGGGGCUGGGUGAGUCGACCCCUAAGGCGAGGCCGAAAGGCGUAGUCGAUGGGAAAAUGGUUAAUAUUCCAUUACUUCUGUGUAAUGCGAUGAGAGGACGGAGAAGGCUAAAUCAGCCUGGCGUUGGUUGUCCAGGUGAAAGGAUGUAGGCAUGUAUCUUAGGCAAAUCCGGGGUACUCUAUGCUGAGAUCUGAUAGCAAGCUGUACUUGUACAGCGAAGUGGUUGAUGCCAUGCUUCCAGGAAAAGUCUCUAAGCUUCAGUUACACAGGAAUCGUACCCGAAACCGACACAGGUGGUCAGGUCGAGUAGACCAAGGCGCUUGAGAGAACUCUGCUGAAGGAACUAGGCAAAAUGGUACCGUAACUUCGGGAGAAGGUACGCUGUUGUUGGUGAUGGAACUCGCUUCCUGAGCUGACGACAGCCGCAGAAACCAGGCCGCUGCAACUGUUUAUUAAAAACAUAGCACUCUGCAAACACGAAAGUGGACGUAUAGGGUGUGAUGCCUGCCCGGUGCUGGAAGGUUAAUUGAUGGGGUUAGCGUAAGCGAAGCUCUUGAUCGAAGCCCCAGUAAACGGCGGCCGUAACUAUAACGGUCCUAAGGUAGCGAAAUUCCUUGUCGGGUAAGUUCCGACCUGCACGAAUGGCAUAAUGAUGGCGGCGCUGUCUCCAGCAGAGGCUCAGUGAAAUCGAAAUCGCUGUGAAGAUGCAGUGUACCCGCGGCUAGACGGAAAGACCCCGUGAACCUUUACUGCAGCUUGACACUGAACUUUGACCUUACUUGUGUAGGAUAGGUGGGAGGCUUUGAAGCUGGAACGCUAGUUCCAGUGGAGCCGUCCUUGAAAUACCACCCUGGUAAUGUUGAGGUUCUAACUCUGUCCCGUGAUCCGGGACGAGGACCGUGUCUGGUGGGUAGUUUGACUGGGGCGGUCUCCUCCUAAAGAGUAACGGAGGAGUACGAAGGUGCGCUCAGCGUGGUCGGAAAUCACGCGUAGAGUAUAAAGGCAAAAGCGCGCUUAACUGCGAGACCCACAAGUCGAGCAGGUACGAAAGUAGGUCUUAGUGAUCCGGUGGUUCUGUAUGGAAGGGCCAUCGCUCAACGGAUAAAAGGUACUCUGGGGAUAACAGGCUGAUACCGCCCAAGAGUUCAUAUCGACGGCGGUGUUUGGCACCUCGAUGUCGGCUCAUCUCAUCCUGGGGCUGAAGCAGGUCCCAAGGGUAUGGCUGUUCGCCAUUUAAAGAGGUACGCGAGCUGGGUUUAGAACGUCGUGAGACAGUUCGGUCCCUAUCUACCGUGGGCGCUGGAAAUUUGAGAGGAUCUGCUCCUAGUACGAGAGGACCAGAGUGGACGAACCUCUGGUGUACCGGUUGUGACGCCAGUCGCAUCGCCGGGUAGCUAUGUUCGGAAGGGAUAACCGCUGAAAGCAUCUAAGCGGGAAGCCUACCUCAAGAUAAGAUUUCCCUAGGACUUUAUGUCCUCUAAAGAGCCGUUCGAGACUAGGACGUUGAUAGGUUGGAUGUGGAAGCAUAGUGAUAUGUGAAGCUGACCAAUACUAAUUGCUCGUGAGGCUUGACUAUACAACACCCAAGCAGUUG